CCUACGGGUGGCAGCAGUGAGGAAUAUUGGUCAAUGGACGAGAGUCUGAACCAGCCAAGUAGCGUGAAGGAUGACUGCCCUAUGGGUUGUAAACUUCUUUUAUAUGGGAAUAAAACGUUCCACGUGUGGGAUUUUGUAUGUACCAUAUGAAUAAGGAUCGGCUAACUCCGGGCCAGCAGCCGCGGUAAUACGGAGGAUCCGAGCGUUAUCCGGAUUUAUUGGGUUUAAAGGGAGCGUAGGUGGAUUGUUAAGUCAGUUGUGAAAGUUUGCGGCUCAACCGUAAAAUUGCAGUUGAAACUGGCAGUCUUGAGUACAGUAGAGGUGGGCGGAAUUCGUGGUGUAGCGGUGAAAUGCUUAGAUAUCACGAAGAACUCCGAUUGCGAAGGCAGUUCACUGGACUGCAACUGACACUGAGGCUCGAAAGUGUGGGUAUCAAACAGGAUUAGAUACCCCAGUAGUC
RNAcentral lists this ribosomal RNA (460 nucleotides) under uncultured bacterium. RNAcentral's name for it is "partial 16S ribosomal RNA". It matches the Rfam family "Bacterial small subunit ribosomal RNA", at positions 338 to 795 of the family's 1533-position model. The record is from RNAcentral.